UAAUAUCGGAUAACGCAUAUGUGCUGGAAUGCUUUAUGCGUAAAACGGAUUCGUCCGCCCAAGGAUGGGUCUGCGGCCUAUCAGGUAGUAGUGGGUGUAAUGUACCUACUAGCCAACAACGGGUACGGGUUGUGAGAGCAAGAGCCCGGAGAUGGAUUCUGAGACAUGAAUCCAGGCCCUACGGGGCGCAGCAGGCGCGAAAACUUUACAAUGCGGGAAACCGUGAUAAGGGAACACCGAGUGCCAGCAUCAUAUGCUGGCUGUCCAGAUGUGUAAACUACAUCUGUUAGCAAGGGCCGGGCAAGACCGGUGCCAGCCGCCGCGGUAACACCGGCGGCCCGAGUGGUGACCGUUAUUAUUGGGUCUAAAGGGUCCGUAGCCGGUUUGGUCAGUCCUCCGGGAAAUCUGAUAGCUUAACUGUUAGGCUUUCGGGGGAUACUGGCAGGCUUGGAACCGGGAGAGGUGAGAGGUACUACAGGGGUAAGAGUGAAAUCUUGUAAUCCCUGUGAGACCACCUGUGGCGAAGGCGUCUUACCAGAACGGGUUCGACGGUGAGGGACGAAAGCUGGGGGCACGAACCGGAUUAAAUACCCGGGUAGUCCCAGCCGUAAACUAUGCUCGCUAGGUGU
Molecule: ribosomal RNA, 629 nt
Filed under: uncultured archaeon
Lineage: Archaea
Description: bacterial SSU rRNA
Rfam family: Archaeal small subunit ribosomal RNA
Source: RNAcentral